Molecule: ribosomal RNA, 502 nt
Filed under: uncultured bacterium
Lineage: Bacteria
Description: partial 16S ribosomal RNA
Rfam family: Bacterial small subunit ribosomal RNA
Source: RNAcentral
GACGAACGCUGGCGGCGUGCUUAACACAUGCAAGUCGAACGGUGAAGGGGCCUGCUUUUGUGGGCCCUGGAUGAGUGGCGAACGGGUGAGUAACACGUGAGUAACCUGCCCCCUUCUUCUGGAUAACCGCAUGAAAGUGUGGCUAAUACGGGAUAUUCUGGGUCUGUCGCAUGAUGGGUCUGGGAAAGAUUGCGCCUUUGGGUGUUUUUGGUGGGGGAUGGGCUCGCGGCCUAUCAGCUUGUUGGUGGGGUGAUGGCCUACCAAGGCGGUGACGGGUAGCCGGCCUGAGAGGGUGGACGGUCACACUGGGACUGAGACACGGCCCAGACUCCUACGGGAGGCAGCAGUGGGGAAGAUUGCACAAUGGGCGCAAGCCUGAUGCAGCGACGCCGCGUGAGGGAGGGAGGCCUUCGGGUUGUAAACCUCUUUCGCCAGUGAAGCAGGCCUGCUCCGUGUGGGUGGGUUGACGGUAGCUGGAUAAGAAGCGCCGGCUAACUACGUG